GGGAAUAUUGGACAAUGGGGGCAACCCUGAUCCAGCAAUGCCGCGUGUGUGAAGAAGGUCUUCGGAUUGUAAAGCACUUUCGGCGGGGACGAUGAUGACGGUACCCGCAGAAGAAGCCCCGGCUAACUUCGUGCCAGCAGCCGCGGUAAUACGAAGGGGGCUAGCGUUGCUCGGAAUGACUGGGCGUAAAGGGCGCGUAGGCGGAUGACUGAGUCAGAUGUGAAAUUCCUGGGCUUAACCUGGGGGCUGCAUUUGAUACCGGUUGUCUAGAGUUCGGAAGAGGGUCGUGGAAUUCCCAGUGUAGAGGUGAAAUUCGUAGAUAUUGGGAAGAACACCGGUGGCGAAGGCGGCGACCUGGUCCGGGACUGACGCUGAGGCGCGAAAGCGUGGGGAGCAAAC
RNAcentral lists this ribosomal RNA (399 nucleotides) under uncultured bacterium. RNAcentral describes it as "bacterial SSU rRNA". It matches the Rfam family "Bacterial small subunit ribosomal RNA", at positions 357 to 773 of the family's 1533-position model. The record is from RNAcentral.